CCAGAGCUAUCUCGCACAAGUUGAGCGCUCACGCUUAUCGGCUGUUGAUUAAGACAGACUAGCUGUCUGCGGUAUAAACCGGUUAUAAUGCCGGCCGCUUUCAAUAAUCUUCAAUGACAAACAUUCGAAUGAAGUUUGGUUCGAGUUUUUCUCAUUGGCGAUUGAGCCAGUCAGAGCGGUACGAAAGUAUCGGCUGUCGUUCUUUAACAAUCUGGAAGAAGUAAGUAAUUUGGAUAGCGGAAGCGUCUUGAGAUGGACGUGAAAACUAUCCGGGUUGUGAUUGUAUCGAUGUAUCUCAAGAUGAUUCGAACUCUAAGUUUGACUCAAUUGGAAUACGGCACAACGCGAGAACUCAACCUGUAGCGACUGUCGAUGAGACAGACUCGUUAUAG
This 392-nucleotide unclassified non-coding RNA is filed under the name Burkholderia cepacia. Lineage: Bacteria; Pseudomonadati; Pseudomonadota; Betaproteobacteria; Burkholderiales; Burkholderiaceae. The record is from RNAcentral.